UCUGUUCUAUGCUUUCUAUUUCUAGACCACAUCUGCCUCUGCUGUCUUCUCAUCUACUUUCCCUAUGUGGAGAUUGUGAUAACUCAUUCUACCCUACACCACAUUAGAAAUACCUGAUCUUGUGAAAAGACAAACUAGGUUCUUCAGUUCUAAUGUCUAGUGACAAGAACAGAAAAAGGGGUUGCUGGGUUUCAUUAGGAACAUUGUACUGACCCAGUCUUCAGAUUCCUUGGCUGUGACUUUGGGACAA
Molecule: long non-coding RNA, 250 nt
Organism: Arvicanthis niloticus (Nile rat)
Lineage: Eukaryota; Metazoa; Chordata; Mammalia; Rodentia; Muridae
Source: RefSeq, a predicted model, not a curated record